AUUGACUAAGCCCAACCCCUGAUCAAAUCAGAGACCAAACCACCUCGGCGAUUAGGUCAACUCUUAACCUAAUCGGGUCAAACCCAACUGAAUCCAAUUCAAUUGGAUUUGAUCCAAAAAUAAUUACUCAAUCAAAUUGAGUUAAUUAGUGAUCAAAUCACUAAUUAAAUCUCUCAUAAAUACUGAGUCCAAAUUCGAUGGGCAAUCGGGCAUCAAAGUCCAUCUAUAUGAAACC
Molecule: long non-coding RNA, 235 nt
Filed under: Elaeis guineensis (African oil palm)
Lineage: Eukaryota; Viridiplantae; Streptophyta; Magnoliopsida; Arecales; Arecaceae
Description: long non-coding RNA (EGUI_LNC078817)
Source: RNAcentral